Long non-coding RNA from Amblyraja radiata (thorny skate), 126 nucleotides. RefSeq lists it as uncharacterized. The transcript has 2 exons. NCBI's taxonomy places the organism in Eukaryota, Metazoa, Chordata, Chondrichthyes, Rajiformes, Rajidae. The record is from RefSeq and is a predicted model, not a curated record.
GUUCAAUUUAGUUUAUUGUCACGUGUACCGAGGUACAGUGAAAAGCUUUUUGUUGCAUGCUAACCAGUUGGCAGAAACAUAAUGCAUGAUUACAGUCGAUCUAUUUACAGUAUAGAUACAUGAUGA